RNAcentral lists this ribosomal RNA (493 nucleotides) under uncultured bacterium. RNAcentral describes it as "bacterial SSU rRNA". It matches the Rfam family "Bacterial small subunit ribosomal RNA", at positions 28 to 507 of the family's 1533-position model. The record is from RNAcentral.
GAUGAACGCUAGCGGCAGGCUUAAUACAUGCAAGUCGAGGGGCAUCAAGGUACACGAAAGUGUAUUGUUGGCGACCGGCGGACGGGUGAGUAAUAGGUAGGUAACCUACCUCAUACUGAGGCAUAGCUGGGAGAAAUUCCAGGUAAUUCCUCAUGAGGUUAUAUGACACAUGUGAUACAAUCAAAGGUAUCGCAAGGUACUGGUAUGAGAUGGGCUUACUGACCAUUAGCUAGUUGGUGAGAUAAGAGCUCACCAAGGCGAAGAUGGUUAGGGGUUUUGAGAGAGAGAUCCCCCACAUUGGAACUGAGAUACGGUCCAGACUCCUACGGGAGGCAGCAGUGAGGAAUAUUGGUCAAUGGGCGAGAGCCUGAACCAGCCAAGUCGCGUGAAGGAAGAAGGUUCUAUGGAUUGUAAACUUCUUUUGCAGGGGAAUAAAGGCGGUACGUGUACUGUUUUGUAUGUACCUUGCGAAUAAGGAUCGGCUAACUCCGUG